GCAGCAUACUUUCCAAGCUCUCUCUUUAACUCUGCACAUUCUAUCUUUACCCUCGUUGCCUCAUCUUUGAUAUUAUAGGCCUCUCUUUUUAAAUCAUCUAUCUCUUCUAACAAAUUGAUUGUCUCUCCUUUGAGUUAUGCCACAUGUUCUUUUAUACCAAAAUUUUUUUCUCUAUACCUUCCAACAAUAGUAGACAAUCUUCUCACAUU
This 209-nucleotide long non-coding RNA is filed under the name Elaeis guineensis (African oil palm). RNAcentral describes it as "long non-coding RNA (EGUI_LNC039407)". Lineage: Eukaryota; Viridiplantae; Streptophyta; Magnoliopsida; Arecales; Arecaceae. The record is from RNAcentral.